Long non-coding RNA from Zingiber officinale, 837 nucleotides. RefSeq lists it as uncharacterized. The record is from RefSeq and is a predicted model, not a curated record. NCBI's taxonomy places the organism in Eukaryota, Viridiplantae, Streptophyta, Magnoliopsida, Zingiberales, Zingiberaceae. The transcript has 3 exons.
UUCGCCAAAACAUUCUUCCUUUCCCCGCGCGCCCAACACCGCCGAACCCAAGCCCUAACCGGUGCCGCGGCAGUUCCUGCUCCCGAUCCUUUUCUCUCCUUUUUCUUCUUCUCCUCUCCUUCCUCCCCGGAGCCUGCCCAAGCGCCGGCGAGUGCGAGCCACUGCUGGUCAAGUCGUCGGCUGUGCCCUAGUUUCCUUGUCGACGGUGCCGACGCCCACAGAAGUUUCCUCUCCUCUGCCGACAGCCGCCCUCACGGAGUGAUCCCGACGCCGCCGUCUUGCACCGAGCAUCAGUGUCGCUGGCUACUCCUCCGAGGAGUGCCCUAGGUGCCGACGCCGCACCUCUCUUCCUCUUAUCCUUUCGGCAUCCGAGCCCUAGCACCGCCGCCGACCCAACUCCUCUCAUCUUGCUGCCGACCAAAGCCCUGAGCAGUGCCGAUCAAGCCAACUCUCCUUUCCUCUUCCCUAGCGACAGCAGACGGCCGCCCCUCUCUGCCGACCUCACGCCUCGGCACUGGUUGCUGACCACCAGGUGCUGCGUGCCACAGAUGGGCCUAGUAGUGCCCUAGUCCUCCACCGCCGCAGCCACCUAGCCUCACUGUGUCGCCUCUCCUCUGCCUCUGCCGGUUUCCUGAUCAUUCCCCCUGGCUGACGCGUGAGCACGGGGUCGUUUAGCAGUGAUCUUGGAGGAAGAAGAUUUAGGUAAGCAUCGUUUGAUCUCCGGCAACAGGUAGAUUCCAGCAGCAAACGACCCUACUUCAAACAGUGAUUCAUCAGGUUGAUGCUGUCAGGAGAGAGUUCCAGUUGCUGGUCCCCUGCAGACCAUGAGGAUUUAUU